Molecule: unclassified non-coding RNA, 398 nt
Filed under: uncultured bacterium
Lineage: Bacteria
Description: contains 16S-23S intergenic spacer region
Source: RNAcentral
UCCCCGUUGCCGGGGCAGUCUGGCUAGAAAAAUACAACUAACCAUAAGGGUUGCGCUCGUUGAUGGACUUAACCAAACAUCUCACGACACGAGCUGACGACGGCCAUGCAACACCUGUCACUGAGUUCCGGCUCUCAAUACACAAUGAAUUAUUAUGUACUCAGAGCCGGCACUCACUGCUUUCGCAGUAAUUCUCAGGAUGUCAAGCCUUGGUAAGGUUCUUCGCUUACCAUCGAAUUAAACAACACGCUCCACCGCUUGUGCGGGUCCCCGUCAAUUCCUUUGAGUUUUAGUCUUGCGACCGUACUCCCCAGGCGGGAUGCUUAACGCGUUAGCUUCGCUACAUACCGGGUCGAUACGGCAUACAGCUAGCAUCCAUAGUUUACGGCGUGGACUAC